Molecule: ribosomal RNA, 253 nt
Filed under: uncultured bacterium
Lineage: Bacteria
Description: partial 16S ribosomal RNA
Rfam family: Bacterial small subunit ribosomal RNA
Source: RNAcentral
UACGGAGGAUCCAAGCGUUAUCCGGAAUCAUUGGGUUUAAAGGGUCCGUAGGCGGUUUUGUAAGCCAGAUGUGAAAUCCCCGGGCUUAACCUGGGAAUGGCAUUUGGGACUGCAAGGCUUGAGUGCGGCAGAGGAGACUGGAAUUCCUGGUGUAGCAGUGAAAUGCGUAGAUAUCAGGAGGAACACCGAUGGCGAAGGCAGGUCUCUGGGCUGACACUGACGCUCAUGCACGAAAGCGUGGGGAGCAAACAGG